GGGCCCGCACAAGCGGAGGAACAUGUGGUUUAAUUCGAUGAUACGCGAGGAACCUUACCCGGGCUCGAACGGCAGUGGAAUGAGUGUGAAAGCAUUCAGCCAGCAAUGGCCGCUGUCGAGGUGCUGCAUGGUUGUCGUCAGCUCGUGCCGUGAGGUGUCGGCUUAAGUGCCAUAACGAGCGCAACCCUUAUCUUUAGUUACCAUCAGGUCAAGCUGGGGACUCUGGAGAGACUGCCACCGUAAGGUGUGAGGAAGGUGGGGAUGACGUCAAAUCAGCACGGCCCUUACGUCCGGGGCGACACACGUGUUACAAUGGGGGGGACAAAGGGUCGCUACCUGGCAACAGGAUGCAAAUCUCUAAACCCUCUCCCAGUUCGGAUCGGAGUCUGCAACUCGACUCCGUGAAGCUGGAUUCGCUAGUAAUCGCGCAUCAGCCAUGGCGCGGUGAAUACG
Molecule: ribosomal RNA, 453 nt
Filed under: uncultured Bacteroidales bacterium
Lineage: Bacteria; Pseudomonadati; Bacteroidota; Bacteroidia; Bacteroidales
Description: bacterial SSU rRNA
Rfam family: Bacterial small subunit ribosomal RNA
Source: RNAcentral